Molecule: ribosomal RNA, 496 nt
Filed under: uncultured bacterium
Lineage: Bacteria
Description: partial 16S ribosomal RNA
Rfam family: Bacterial small subunit ribosomal RNA
Source: RNAcentral
GAUGAACGCUGGCGGCGUGCCUAAUACAUGCAAGUCGAGCGAACGGACGAGAAGCUUGCUUCUCUGAUGUUAGCGGCGGACGGGUGAGUAACACGUGGAUAACCUACCUAUAAGACUGGGAUAACUUCGGGAAACCGUAGCUAAUACCGGAUAAUAUUUUGAACCGCAUGGUUCAAAAGUGAAAGACGGUCUUGCUGUCACUUAUAGAUGGAUCCGCGCUGCAUUAGCUAGUUGGUAAGGUAACGGCUUACCAGGGCAACGAUGCAUAGCCGACCUGAGAGGGGGGUGGGGCACACAGGAAGGGGACAGAGGCCCGGCCCCGAAGGGGAGGCAAGGGAGGGGAAUGUCCGACAGGGGGCGAAGCCGUGGCGGGACACCGCCGCGGGGGGGAGGAGAGGUCUGGGUUCGUAAACUUCUUUUUUUAGGAAAGAAAAAAUGUGAAAGUAUUGGGGCACAUGUGACGGGACCCGAAGAAGAAGCCCCGGCUAAAUACGUG